GGACUUGGCUCGCCUUAAAUACUGCUAUCUGACAGAAGGAAAUUAACGUGUGCCGCAGCAUCCACCCCCAAGGCUGGCCAGAGUGACAAGCUCUUUCCUUCUGUAAUUACUGCGAGAAGCUCAAAUGGGGUUUCACCAAAUCCAGGGAAGUCUCACAAGGAGAAAAGAAAACACCUCCCACCAGACACGGAGCUGAUCUGUAAGCAACUCCAACAAGGGAAAUGGCCUGCCUUCCUCCCACUCCCCCCAGAGCCCAGAUGUGCAGCCUCGAGGGUCAGACAGGGCCGCCUCUGGGACCCGUGGAGAAACCGCAGCCUUCUCCGAAACUAAGGUGAGGUACUAUGGAAAUGUCUGGAAGACUGAAAGUCCCUGGACCCUGGUGAAGACAAGGAUCCAAGCUGUUGCCAAGCUGGCUCCGGACCCUCCUAGAACAUCACCCCUGUGUGUCUGCACAGAAAACAGGAGGCCACACAAAAGUAAGCACGCAGUCUGCAGGAUGCCCCAGGGCCAUACGAGACCUCAGCCUCUGAAUGGUUUUCACCUGGCACUCCCAUCUCCAGAGCAGUUAUCAUCUGACCCAAAUAAGAAACAGGAAGAGAGCAAAACAUCUUUGAGAACACAUGAGAGAUCAAAUAGGGGAUCGCCUAGAAGAACACCUGGGGGAUUAGCUGAGCGAUCACAUGGAAAAUCACCUGGGAGAACACUUAGGAGAUCACCUGUGACAACACCUGGGAGAUUACCUAGGAGAACACCUGGGAGAUCACCUGUGAUAACACCUGGGAGAUCACCAAGGAGAACACCUGAGAGAUCACCUGGGAGAACACCUGGGGGAUCAUGUGGGAGAACACUUGGGAGAUCACCUGGGAGAUCACCUGUGACAACAUCCGAGAGAUCACCUGGGAGACCACCUAGGAGAACACCUGAGAGAUCACCUGUGACAACAUCCAAGCGGUCACCUGAGAGAUCACCUGGGAGAUCACCCGUGACAAUACCUGGGAGAUCACCUAGGAGAACAUCUGAGAGAUCACCUGGAAGAACACCUGAGGGAUCACGUGGGAGAACACGGGAGAACACCUGUGACAACACCUGGGCAAUCACCUGGGAGAACACUUGGGAGAUCACCUGGGAGAACACUUGUGUGAAUACCUGGAGAAUGACUGGCAGUGGACACCAGGGCCAAGGGCCAUGCCCAAAGCCUGCCGUUUCCUCCUAUCCGGGUGUCACACACUUGUUUAUGUGUAUAUGUCUGUGUCUGUGUGUGUAUGUGUGUGUUUUGAUUUCUGCACUUUAACAGCUUUAUUGUGAUACCACGGAAUUCACCUGUUUAAAGUGUACAAUUCCAUGUUUUUUGUACACUCAUUGGGCUGUGCAACUAUCCCCACAGUCAAGUGAUGGAACGUUUUCAAGCCCUGAGAUAAAAGUGGACCUAUUUACUGGGACAUCCUUUCUGCUUCCCCCAGGCCCUGGCAACCACUAACCGACCUUCCAUCUCUAUUGCUCUGGCUCUCCUGGACAUUCAUACGAACAGAAUCACAUAACAUGUGAUCUUUUAAGUCUGACUUCUUUCACGUAGCGUAAUGUUCAAGGUUCGUCCACACUGCAGCCUGGGUCAGGGCCCGUUCCUUCUCAUGGUGAGUAAUAUUCCACGUGCAGACUUGCCAUGACCUGUGUGUCUGUUCUUCAAGCCGACAGACAUGUGUCUGGGCUGCUGUGGUGUCGGCGUAGCAGUUUCCGUGUGGACAUGAGCUUGCCCAGCAGUGGAGGUGCUGGGGAAUGUGGUCACCCUGGGCUGCAUUGCCUGAUGAGCUUCCAAACUGUUUCCCAUGGCGGCUGGGAUACUUCACAUUUCCACCAGCAGUGGAUGACAUUCUUUUCGGUUAAACAUUGCUUGGAAUCAGAGAAAUGCUUUCCUAUUUUUACGAUGACAAAAUGGGAGGGAGGACGGGUGAUGGUGUCAACAAGUUUCUUAAGACAGUAAAUACUUGGGGCCCAGUGGCAAGGCUGCCCCACAUUGGUCUCCAUGUCCCACAUCUGCCAGGACGGUUGACGCCCCAACCCUUCCCCUAGCAUGAGUGAUGCUGGGUUCACGCCGCCUGUGUCCAAGCACCGGCUCUGAAGACACAAAGAGAGUGGGGCCUGACGGGCAGGCAUGUGAUGGCAGGGGCACUUCUGUCCCCAGACAUGCACAAACCGGGUCCAUCUGCAUGCUUCCAGCCUGCAGAGCCAGCCCAAGAGAAAAACUAGGUCCUCUUCUGAAGAGAGCAGAGCUUCCAGAGGCUAGUCUACUCUGGCUCAGAGUCUCAGUGGCAGUGGACAGAGGUGGGAACAUUCUGUACGUACAGGUUUCUGUUAAAAUAUUUUGUUUACUUA
This is a long non-coding RNA of Canis lupus familiaris (dog), 2370 nucleotides long. RefSeq lists it as uncharacterized. The record is from RefSeq and is a predicted model, not a curated record. NCBI's taxonomy places the organism in Eukaryota, Metazoa, Chordata, Mammalia, Carnivora, Canidae. The transcript is spliced from 2 exons.